UAUAAUGCAGUCGAGCGACUGAUUAGAAGCUUGCUUCUAUGACGUUAGCGGCGGACGGGUGAGUAACACGUGGGCAACCUGCCUGUAAGACUGGGAUAACUUCGGGAAACCGAAGCUAAUACCGGAUAGGAUCUUCUCCUUCAUGGGAGAUGAUUGAAAGAUGGUUUCGGCUAUCACUUACAGAUGGGCCCGCGGUGCAUUAGCUAGUUGGUGAGGUAACGGCUCACCAAGGCAACGAUGCAUAGCCGACCUGAGAGGGUGAUCGGCCACACUGGGACUGAGACACGGCCCAGACUCCUACGGGAGGCAGCAGUAGGGAAUCUUCCGCAAUGGACGAAAGUCUGACGGAGCAACGCCGCGUGAGUGAUGAAGGCUUUCGGGUCGUAAAACUCUGUUGUUAGGGAAGAACAAGUACGAGAGUAACUGCUCGUACCUUGACGGUACCUAACCAGAAAGCCACGGCUAACUACGUGCCAGCAGCCGCGGUAAUACGUAGGUGGCAAGCGUUAUCCGGAAUUAUUGGGCGUAAAGCGCGCGCAGGCGGUUUCUUAAGUCUGAUGUGAAAGCCCACGGCUCAACCGUGGA
RNAcentral lists this ribosomal RNA (585 nucleotides) under Priestia aryabhattai. RNAcentral's name for it is "bacterial SSU rRNA". It matches the Rfam family "Bacterial small subunit ribosomal RNA", at positions 52 to 619 of the family's 1533-position model. The record is from RNAcentral. Lineage: Bacteria; Bacillati; Bacillota; Bacilli; Caryophanales; Bacillaceae.